This 1310-nucleotide ribosomal RNA is filed under the name metagenome. Its description in RNAcentral is "bacterial LSU rRNA". It matches the Rfam family "Bacterial large subunit ribosomal RNA", at positions 1603 to 2925 of the family's 2925-position model. The record is from RNAcentral.
UGCUUCCAAGAAAAGCCCUAUACCCGUUAAGGCAUGAUGGCCUGUACCCGAAACCGACACAGGUGGGGUGGUAGAGAAUACCGAGGGGCGCGAGGUAACUCUCUCUAAGGAACUCGGCAAAAUGGCCCCGUAACUUCGGGAGAAGGGGUGCCACCGCAAGGUGGUCGCAGUGAAGAGGCCCAGGCGACUGUUUACCAAAAACACAGGUCUCCGCUAAGUCGCAAGACGAUGUAUGGGGGCUGACGCCUGCCCAGUGCCGGAAGGUUAAGGAAGCUGGUCAGCGUAAGCGAAGCUAGCGACUGAAGCCCCGGUGAACGGCGGCCGUAAUAAUAACGGUCCUAAGGUAGCGAAAUUCCUUGUCGGGUAAGUUCCGACCCGCACGAAAGGCGUAACGAUCUGGGCGCUGUCUCGGAGAGAGGCUCGGCGAAAUAGAAUUGUCUGUGAAGAUGCGGACUACGUGCACCCGGACAGAAAGACCCUAUGAAGCUUUACUGUAGCUUGGUAUUGUGCUCGGGCUCGGAAUGCGCAGGAUAGGUGGGAGGCUAUGAACCAUUGCUUGUGGGUGAUGGUGAGCCACUGGUGAGAUACCACUCUUUCCGAGCUAGAGUUCUAACAGCCACCCGUUAUCCGGGGGCUGGACAGUAUCAGGUGGGCAGUUUGACUGGGGCGGUCGCCUCCUAAAAGGUAACGGAGGCGCGCAAAGGUUUGCCCAGGCUGGUUGGAAAUCAGCCGACGAGUGUAAAAGCAGAAGCAAGCUUGACUGUGAGACCUACAAGUCGAACAGGGAGGAAACUCGGCUUUAGUGAUCCGACGGUUCUGCGUGGAAGGGCCGUCGCUCAACGGAUAAAAGUUACUCUAAGGAUAACAGGCUGAUCUCCCCCAAGAGUUCACAUCGACGGGGAGGUUUGGCACCUCGAUGUCGGCUCAUCGCAACCUGGGGCUGAAGUCGGUCCCAAGGGUUGGGCUGUUCGCCCAUUAAAGCGGUACGCGAGCUGGGUUCAGAACGUCGUGAGACAGUUCGGUCCAUAUCCGGUGCAUGCGCAGGAAUAUUGAGAGGAUUUCUCCCUAGUACGAGAGGACCGGGAGGAACGCACCUCUGGUGUACCAGUUAUCGUGCCAACGGUAAACGCUGGGUAGCCAUGUGCGGAGAGGAUAACCGCUGAAAGCAUCUAAGUGGGAAGCCCACCUCAAGAUGAGUAUUCCCAUGGGGUAACCCAGUAAGGUCACGGGAAGAACACCCGUUGAUAGGCUCUACGUGGAAGCGCAGUAAUGUGUGAAGCGGAGGAGUACUAAUAGACCGAGGGCUUGAC